Molecule: long non-coding RNA, 2502 nt
Filed under: Pan troglodytes (chimpanzee)
Lineage: Eukaryota; Metazoa; Chordata; Mammalia; Primates; Hominidae
Description: lincRNA
Source: RNAcentral
UUUCUAACAUUUACUUAAAAACAAAAUUCUUGUAUUCUUCAUGUAGGGUCAGUAUUCAAUUACACAAAAAUAGGCAGCCAACUUAAGAACUGUAUAUAAGAUUAAGACAACUGGUAUUUCAUGGUAAAUGAUUAAAUUAGCUAACACAGUUAUAUCCUGAACUUUGCCAUUAGGACUGACAUUUUUGUUCGAUGUGCAUUGAGGAUUGUGGGUAAUCUAAACUGGUAUGAGCUUUUUCUCUUUGAAACUCAAACAGAAUUAAGGAACAGUAUUCUCUGCAAAUGGAAUACGGAGUUUGAGAACAGCCACAAAAAAAUUCUCUUGUAGUAAGCUGAACCGCCCUAGGAGUACUCAGGAAUUAGAGGACUCAGGAAUUAGAGAAUUACAGAACUGGAGAAAUGAGGGGCAUGGAUAGGAGGGAGAGAAAAAUUGAUUAAUUGAUUUACUAUAAUUUUCAAAUGGAAGUAUGUGGGAAAAUAAGACAAAACAAGCAGAGUUGUUUUUCACAGUGAAGCCUCAGAGGGGUGAAAGCUUUGUUCCUCUGGGUAGCAAGUUCUAUUUCCACACUUCCGACUGCAUAUUCCAUAUUUAUGCUGAUUUUUGGUCUCUCGGUUCGUAGCUUGCUAGGUGGCAAGGGCAGUUAGAGAAAAAAAAGGCAGAUUUAUGAAACACAGAAAAAUUUCUCACUGAAAUCAGGCUUGGAUUUGUGAAUCACUUGUUUUUUUUCCCUGUGGUCACUCCUGAUGAGGUCAACUGCUUCAAUCCUUUAGGUUUUGUAGAGGGGUUUCCGGAUUCCAGGAGUCCCAGAAGGUCCGGGGAGCACUCCCCACAUUUUAGCCAGAAGUAAUUAACUAAAACAUAAAGGCUCCACUUUCUCUUUUCACAUUUUGAGCCACAGAUCAUCUAAUUCCAAGCUUAAGACAUCAGAUUUCAGAUCAUUAGUGCAAAGCAUCUUCCACAGGAGGCAAUAAAAUGUCACUUUAUAUAACUCGGCUACAGUUACACUGCUUUCAGAAAGCAGGAAUCUCUCUGAAAAGAAAUUUACAUGAAAACAGUCGCAUUGUUUGAGAAUUUAUGCAAAUGUUGCACAAAGGAGUUUGACAGUGAUUUUAAAAACUUAAAUCUUUAUCACUGCCUCAAAGAUAUCCUGAAAAACUUAGUUACCUCUAAAGAAUUCCAUUGCACUUAUUUUUUAAAUGUCUAUAAUAUAGAGUUGUUUUAAAAAUUUUCCCUAAACUCCAAACUUCUUCCUCAGCUUCAAAGCCUUCUAUAAUGAAUAUCCUACAGAGAACCUAGUGCAUAUUGGUUUAGCACUUACUAGGAUCACUCAUUACUAGUUAAGAAAAUUGAAGAUAACAACCAUAGCGCCAAGUAUUUUGAACAACAUAAAAUGUUUCUGCCGUGGGUGUAGCUCUUAGGGACCGCAUGGGGAUAUGUACCCCUCAGUGCUCAAUCAGCACAAGAUGAAGCUCUAAGUGUCUCAAUCCAUGUUGAUUGCCUCUGAACUCCCCGGUGUUAGGAAUCUGGAUGUGUCCAUUACUGCAUUUUCAAACAAUGAACUGCCUGCGCCAGGAAUCUGAUUUCUGUAGAAAGACAUUAAGGGGCUGGGUGAGGAAUAGGGUGUCAACAAAACGUGGUAUUUUCCUUUGAUUUUCACUUUCUUUAAAUUCUUCUGCAUUUACUACCUAGCGACUGUCUGGCAUUGGUACCCUCAGUUUCUUUUCUUCUGCUUUUCCUCCUUAUUCAGUGUGGAAGAUGAUCAAAGUAUGACGUUUCUUCUACCCCAGAGGUUGGCAUUUCUGCAGGCACAAAUGAGCUUGGUUUUCAAGCACCAGUCUUUGAGCACAAGGAAUUCCUUUAAUGAUCACGGGCUAGAUAGACUUUGGAAUCAGACUCUUUGAAUUCCAGCUCUGCCAUUUACCAACUUUGACACUUUGGAUAGGGUCUCAUUCUGUCAGCCAGGCUGGAGUGCAGUGGCACUAUUAUAGCUCACUGCAGCCUCAAAUGCCUGGGCUCAGGCAGUCUUCCCACCUCUGCCUCCUGAGUAGUUGGGACUACAGGCAUGUGCCACCAAGCCCAGCCAAUUUUUCAGUUUUAAAUUUUUUGUAGAGAUGGGGGUCUUGCUAUGUCACCCAGGCUGGUCUUGAACACCUGGCCUCAAGUGAUCCUCCGGCCUCGCUCUCUCAAAGCUCUGGGAUUACAGACAUGAGCCACUGCACCUGGCUCUGUCUCCCCUUCCUAUGUGUGUUGGCUCUAGAACAAGAGAAGCCUUGUUGAGAUUCAUGGCUGCCCCUUGCACCCCAUCACCUCUCUGACUUUGGGCAAGUUGCCUGGUCUCUCUCAGCCUUUAUUUUCUUUUUGUGAAAUGGGGAUAAUAAUAGUACUUGCCUCAUAGGCAAAAUGUUGUGAGAACUAAAUGAGAAAAUACAUGUAAAGCUCUUGGCACUUAGGUCUUUUUAUGAUUAUGAUGAUAAUCACACAUAAUAAAUUAUUUCUCACAUC